Molecule: long non-coding RNA, 2644 nt
Organism: Sycon ciliatum
Lineage: Eukaryota; Metazoa; Porifera; Calcarea; Leucosolenida; Sycettidae
Exons: 2
Source: RefSeq, a predicted model, not a curated record
UACAUGGAGUGGGGCCUGGAAUGGAGGCGACGUCCAUCUCCUCAAAUACAAUGUAACAGCAUGUAGAGCAGCCCCUAGAUUACUCAGCAUUUCGAUCGUCCACGCGAGCUUAGCGCUUGGAGCGGAGUACAGCAUGCAAGCAGCGGAAGUUUUCACCGCCAGCCGAGGCGCCGAGCAUCACUCCGACAAGCCUGCUUGGGCAUAAGCCCUACCUAGCCUUGGGAGACCCUGGCCAGCACAUCACUACGGCAUCAGUACAAGACAUACUCGAGCAAAGGUGGAAUACACACAAUAUGUUUGGGCGAACGGCCCUCCACUCUGCUCGCCGCGCAUAAAAACGUCAAUCUUCAGCUGCAAGUGAUCCAGACCAGCGUGACACGAACAGAUUGCAUUCGUGGACAAACUAAAAAGGGCCAAUUAGCAGCCGAACAGGAAUAUCAGUACAUUGCAGGCGAGGAGUUCAGGUGACUAGCUUCGAGUAGCCGAUGUCAGACUCAGUGAGUGCAUCAGACAUCUGUCUACAUAAGUGAACUUCUCAGUUUUAUCACCUCAGUACUGUGAACUGUCUCGUCCGUACACCAGUAAUGGUACUGCCCCCAACAGAUGAUAAGCAUCUACUGUAUCUCAGCACCACCAAGUUAGUGCCGAGAGGCGAUAGAAUUGGGCAUCGGACGUUCAGCGCGAGAGAUUGUAGAUUUACAUUGUACAUGUACAUGUAUGCGCAUACAUUUGUAUGUCCGUGGAUUGUUGCGUCUUCUGGUUUGCGAUCAGAGAAACGUGCUAAUUAUUGUGUUACGCGCACCGCUAAUUAGGCCUGGUGUACCAGCCUUCGUCGAUCCUCGGGGCAAGAUCGCCUCUGUCCAUUUGCCACGCUGACACGUUGUGAGCGUGAUUGAGGAAACACUCCGAGUAAGUCUCUCCCAUCGGGAUACCACAGUUCCAUCUUCCGACCAGCGUAGCAGAUUUCCGCCGGUCGAUCGCCUUCGCGAGGUUGCAGCUUUGGCUCGCUGCUCCUACUCCUGCUGCACUACACUACCAUACAGGUGUCGUUUGAACACGUGACAGCUUUGGAUUGAAUUAUUUGCAGCUGAGUGGCUGGAUAUAAGCCCAUCUUCUUGACUGUUUCUACCAUUGUUGAAUCGAGACAUACAGUGGCUGGAUACAUAGCGAAACGGCUGCUUCCACAGGAGCAGUGCAGGAAGAGACUCCUGUAACCACAUGGUGGAUCGCAAGCUUCGGCCGGUGCUGAAAGUAUCCUAAAAGUAUCGCAGCCUUCAAAUCGAAUAUUGUCUAUGUUCGGUCUAUACAAGGCCGGUUCAUGCAACAAGUACGUGCCAAUGUUCUAGACUGCUCCGGGCGACAUUCUCAGUAGUGUGUCCAACAACCUAGCCAGGACCCGUUUUUCCUGCGUCAGUGCAAAUUUGUAGAGGCCAACAACACUCUGAAUGCAACAGCUCUGAACGCCGUCUCGCCAGCAUUGUGAGCACCGAAAACCGUGUUUCUUGCAAGUGUUUCUGCACUCUCGUUAUCAUUAUUCCGUCCCCGCCGACACGCCCGUGUGAAACACUCAGUUUGAUCAGCUUUGGGACAGCAGUUAGUACGCUUGGAGGGUGCCCGCAUACGACCAGCAACAGCGAUACUCUACCCCGACACGACAUCGGCUCAAUAUGGCGGCUAGAUUCAGCUCGGCCCACCUGCGGCAUGCAGUCCUAAUUGUAAUGGUACUGGUCGUGUUCUUGACCCGGAUAAUUUCCGCUCUGCCCACACAGCUCCGGAGUACGGCCAUGGACGACAGCGGUAAACAAUUCAGUGCUCACAGUCCAGAUGUGGCCUUGCUCGUCGAGUCCACCGCCACCAUAUUCAACAUGUGUCGGCAUACCAACAUGUAUCGCCGCGAGUGCGAAUGGCACAAGUCCAAGAUCUCCAAGAUUCUGAAGCGCAUUUUCAAAGUCUAUGACGUGAGCACGAACGAGACAACGAGGUUACGGAUACGCGAGGAUGCGCUAAGCACAACUGUGAACGCCAUGGUAUCGGAAAACAAGAUAGCUCUGCUGGAGCGGGCCAGCCUGCAGGUUAUGUCAUUCUGUGUGCUCAAUCUGUCAUACUGCAAAACCGAUAUGGACUACGUGCUCCUAAACUUCGACCCCGCAAUUCGCAGAGGGUAGUGAGGCUCUUGGCUGAUCAAUCAUCGCCCAGCCUCUAUUUCCUUGUGUGUCGCCAUGUUAGGUUAGUAGGUGUUCUUGUUUGUUUGAUUGCCGUAUCGUCAUCGCCAACAGACUUGAGAGAAUUCUGUAGAGUGUUUUUUAUACAACUACUGACACUGUCCAGGGAUCACAAUUAUUAUUAUUACUACUACUAGAGAUUAGUUUGUUGACCAGCAUUACCCGCGUCACAGCGUGUGUUGUAUUUCAGUUGAUCUUGAUGACGGAUUAUUUGAGUUUCGAACACUGCGCCCCAUUCAAAACCCGAUUUGUCACCGUCCACAACUUUAUAACAGUCUUGAGAGAAAAUGACGAAUUGCAUACCUCUAUUCCGUUUAUAUCUAGACCCCGAAACACUUGUCCUUUUACCACUACAUGUAUCUGCUGUACUUGGAUUUCAGCGUUUGGAAACUUUUCUUGUGCAAGUGCCGGUACUAAACUGA